Acanthoscelides obtectus is the source of this 70-nucleotide non-coding RNA. The record is from the annotation of a GenBank genome assembly. Lineage: Eukaryota; Metazoa; Arthropoda; Insecta; Coleoptera; Chrysomelidae.
GGCUCGGUAGCUCGGUGGCUAGCGCGUCGAGCUAGCAACCCGGGGCUAGCCAGUUAGAAUCUCCGCGUCG